Long non-coding RNA from Octopus bimaculoides (California two-spot octopus), 503 nucleotides. NCBI's taxonomy places the organism in Eukaryota, Metazoa, Mollusca, Cephalopoda, Octopoda, Octopodidae. The record is from RefSeq and is a predicted model, not a curated record.
CACUUUUAAUUCACAAGGCUCGAAUCGAUCAUACACUUGCUCAAGAUGCCACUCGAUUCACCAUUUGGUUAUGCCACGUCCGUAAAACAAAGUUAAUUAAGGGUUUAAUAUAUUCCGAUCAUUGUUUACUGAUAUAAAACCGGUCUGCCCCGGUGUAAACAAGACGUUUCAUUGGUCUGUUUUCAGCCAAUCAAAUGUCGGGGUGUCACUUUUGAAUGAAGUGGCAAAAUAUUUAGAGAUUAAAGAAAUUAAGACCAGAAUGGACGAAAAAGAAAGGAUAGCAACAUUGCCUUCUUAUGCUGUGGGUUCAACAGUAUUUGUAGCAGAUCCAGACCAAGUGUGGGUCCCUGGUGUUGUAACACAGGUUUCAGACGACGAUUUUGUUAUCCAGGUUGGACAAAAGGAAGUGGUGGCCAGCAUGAAAGACCUCCUCGCCAAUAUGCAUGAAAUACCACAAUCGUGUGAGAACCUCAUCAAAUUGAGCGUCAUUAAUUCAGCCACUG